UGUGGGGUGGUGUAGUUUGUGCACAAAGGUUUUUGGUUCCUUUGGAAGGAGGGUAGCAGCUCCUCCCUGCAG
RNAcentral lists this transfer RNA (72 nucleotides) under Amusium pleuronectes. RNAcentral's name for it is "tRNA-Gln". The record is from RNAcentral. Lineage: Eukaryota; Metazoa; Mollusca; Bivalvia; Pectinida; Pectinidae.